This 194-nucleotide ribosomal RNA is filed under the name uncultured Ralstonia sp. RNAcentral describes it as "partial 16S ribosomal RNA". It matches the Rfam family "Bacterial small subunit ribosomal RNA", at positions 338 to 524 of the family's 1533-position model. The record is from RNAcentral. Lineage: Bacteria; Pseudomonadati; Pseudomonadota; Betaproteobacteria; Burkholderiales; Burkholderiaceae.
CCUACGGGAGGCAGCAGUGGGGAAUUUUGGACAAUGGGCGGAAGCCUGAUCCAGCAAUGCCGCGUGUGUGAAGAAGGCCUUCGGGUUGUAAAGCACUUUUGUCCGGAAAGAAAUCGCACUUACUAAUAUUAGGUGUGGAUGACGGUACCGGAAGAAUAAGGACCGGCUAACUACGUGCCAGCAGCCGCGGUAAU